This 1172-nucleotide long non-coding RNA is filed under the name Lactuca sativa (garden lettuce). Its description in RNAcentral is "long non-coding RNA (LSAT_LNC001402)". Lineage: Eukaryota; Viridiplantae; Streptophyta; Magnoliopsida; Asterales; Asteraceae. The record is from RNAcentral.
UUUAGCCUAGGAGUGUGUCACACCCCAAAACCACGAACGGCGGAAACGUUAAGGGGUGGAGGACGUCAUGUACAGUAUCACAACAGUGUAAUAUAAUAAACAAGCAACAACAUCAUCCAUUGCAUUAUAAGUAAAGUUUUAAUACAUGUGUGUUCUUUCAAUGUAGUAAGACACCAAAAAUAUACAAUCAAAAUAAAAGACGUGACUUGUCUGCUCCGUCUUCUCAAAACCUGGCCAUCGUACCUGUCUACUGUUGACCUGAGAAUACAAGUUAUUUUGAAGGAGAGUAUCAGCUUUAAAGCUGGUGAAUUCAUAAGUAAUUAAGUGUCAUUGUCUUGCUUAUGAAAAUCUGUUAUGAAGGCCAUGUAAACCUUUAAAUGAAAAUGUUGAUGUAUGUAUGAAAACCCUAGAAAAUCCCUUAUUUUCUAUCAGUUUGAGAUGUGGUCUUCUACCAAGACCCGAAUGUUUUGUUUUUGACAAUGUAGCCUUCUACCAAGACCCGAAUGUUCUGUAAGUAAAAUGAUAGCUUUUCCUUUUCUAUUGACUAGUACUAAAAGUGCUUAGUCUAACUCAUCGUUUAUGUGAAUAUAUCACAAAAUAAAGUAAAGUAGGAAAAAUAUAAUUAUGUAAGUAUUACCCUUGGGUAACUAGGGAUAACACGACAUCGAUGAAGCGAAAGGUAUAACCUAAUGAACAUCCGAAGAUUGUUCAAUUAACCUAUGUGGCGAACUGUAGGUUCCAGGAGUGGUUAGUCCCGUAACUGACUUUACAUCGCUGUAGUCGAAGUAAAUAACCUAAUGAACAUCCGAAGAUUGUUCAAUUAACCUAUGUAGCGAACGGUAGGUUCCAGGAAUGGUUAGUCCCGUAACUGUCUCCUAAUAUAUGUAAUAACAACCCAAUGAACAUCCGAAGAUUGUCCAAUUAACCUCUGUGGCGAACACUAGGUUCUAGGAAUGGUUAGUCCCGUAACUGACUCUACAUCGCUAUAAUCGAAAUAGAUAACCUUAUGAACAUCCGAAGAGAUUCCAAUUAACCUCUGUAGCGAACAAUAGGUUCCAGGAAUGGUUAGUCCCGUAACUGACUCCCGUUGAACUGGGAUGGGCUGGAAUGAUUUACUGAAGGUACUAAUAAAUCAUCGUUACGAAUCGAGUUUCAAGUAUUCAUGUAAGUAU